GGUGGGAUGCCGGAGUGGCUGAACGGGGUGGUCUCGAAAACCACUGUCCGCUUUGCGGACCGGAGGUUCAAAUCCUCCUCCCACCGCCG
Molecule: transfer RNA, 89 nt
Filed under: bacterium
Lineage: Bacteria
Description: tRNA-Ser
Rfam family: tRNA
About the family: Transfer RNA (tRNA) molecules are approximately 80 nucleotides in length. Their secondary structure includes four short double-helical elements and three loops (D, anti-codon, and T loops).
Source: RNAcentral